This is a small nuclear RNA of Trichechus manatus latirostris (Florida manatee), 108 nucleotides long. Lineage: Eukaryota; Metazoa; Chordata; Mammalia; Sirenia; Trichechidae. The record is from RefSeq and is a predicted model, not a curated record.
GUUCGCUUAGGCAGGCAGCACACAUACUAAAAUUGGAAUGAUACAGGGAAGACUAGCAUGGCCCUCCACAAGCAUGACAAGCAAAUUCGUGAAGUGUUCCAUAUUUUU